GUUAGGAAUCUUCCACAAUGGGGGCAACCCUGAUGGAGCAACACCGCGUGCUGGAUGAAGGCCUUCGGGUCGUAAACAGCUUUUGUAUACGAAGAAUAUGACGGUAAUAUACGAAUAAGGGUCGGCUAACUACGUGCCAGCAGCCGCGGUCAUACGUAGGACCCAAGCGUUAUCCGGAGUGACUGGGGGUAAAGAGUUGCGUAGGCGGCUUAUUAAGCGAGUAGUGAAAUCUGGUGGCUCAACCAUCAACACAUUGCUCGAACUGAUAGGCUUGAGAAUGGUAGAGGUAGUUGGAAUUUCUUGUGUAGGAGUGAAAUCCGUAGAUAUAAGAAGGAACACCAAUGGCGUAGGCAGACUACUGGACCAUUUCUGACGCUGAGGCACGAAAGCGUGGGGAGCGAACCGGAUUAGAAACCCCGGUAGUCC
Molecule: ribosomal RNA, 426 nt
Filed under: uncultured bacterium
Lineage: Bacteria
Description: partial 16S ribosomal RNA
Rfam family: Bacterial small subunit ribosomal RNA
Source: RNAcentral